RNAcentral lists this long non-coding RNA (201 nucleotides) under Gossypium raimondii (Peruvian cotton). RNAcentral describes it as "long non-coding RNA (GRAI_LNC008852)". The record is from RNAcentral. Lineage: Eukaryota; Viridiplantae; Streptophyta; Magnoliopsida; Malvales; Malvaceae.
CCUGCUUCUUUUUUCUGCUUUUUUCUUCUUUCUUUUUUUUUUUUUGGGUUUGAAGCUACUGGUGGGCUGCUGCUGCUGCUGCAGGGUGCUGCUGUUUGGGUCGGAUCCAGGUCGGGUCGGGUCUUGGGUCGUCCAGGUCGGGUUGAGUCGGCCCGAAAAAAAAUUAUUUUUUUCUUUUUUUUUCUUGCCCUUUUUUCUUUC